This 328-nucleotide ribosomal RNA is filed under the name uncultured bacterium. RNAcentral describes it as "bacterial SSU rRNA". It matches the Rfam family "Bacterial small subunit ribosomal RNA", at positions 568 to 898 of the family's 1533-position model. The record is from RNAcentral.
AGCGCAGGCGGGUCGGCAAGUCUUUGGUGAAAUCCGGAGGCUCAACCUCAGGACUGCCAACGAUACUGCUGAUCUUGAGUACAGAAGAGGAAGACGGAAUUCCUGGUGUAGCGGUGAAAUGCGUAGAUAUCAGGAAGAACACCGGUGGCGAAGGCGGUCUUCUGGUCUGUAACUGACGCUCAUGCUCGAAAGCGUGGGGAGCAAACAGGAUUAGAUACCCUGGUAGUCCACGCCCUAAACGAUGGAUACUCGAUGUCGGGUCGCAAGGCCCGGUGUCCAAGCUAACGCGUUAAGUAUCCCACCUGGGGAGUACGAUCGCAAGGUUGAA